Gossypium raimondii (Peruvian cotton) is the source of this 107-nucleotide non-coding RNA. The record is from Rfam. NCBI's taxonomy places the organism in Eukaryota, Viridiplantae, Streptophyta, Magnoliopsida, Malvales, Malvaceae.
AACCCAUGAUGAUGACACAUUCUCAAAAGAUAUUUAAAUAUCUCCCAUGCAUCUUAUAAUGUCUCCAAAUCAAUUUGAGCAAAAGAAGAGAUAUCAUUCCUCAAUUU